CCCGCUGAACUUAAGCAUAUCAAUAAGCGGAGGAAAAGAAACCAACAGGGAUUACCCUAGUAACGGCGAGUGAAGCGGUAACAGCUCAAAUUUAAAAUCUGGCCUUCACGGGUCCGAGUUGUAAUUUGUAGAGGAUGUUUCGGACAAGGCUGUGGUUUAAGUUUCUUGGAACAGAACGUCACAGAGGGUGAGAAUCCCGUCUAGAACCGAUGGCCGCGUCCAUGUGAAACACCUUCGACGAGUCGAGUUGUUUGGGAAUGCAGCUCAAAAUGGGUGGUAAAUUUCAUCUAAAGCUAAAUAUUGGCCAGAGACCGAUAGCGCACAAGUAGAGUGAUCGAAAGAUGAAAAGUACUUUGAAAAGAGGGUUAAACAGCACGUGAAAUUGUUGAAGGGGAAGCGCUUAUGACCAGACUUGCGCUGGGGCGAUCAUCUGGCGUUCUCGCCGGUGCACUCGCCCCAGUUCAGGCCAGCGUCGGUUCGGGGGGGUGGACAAAGGCGUUGGGUACGUGGCUCCUCCGGGAGUGUUAUAGCCCUUCGCGUCAUGCUCCCUCCUGGACCGAGGCUCGCGCUCUGCAAGGACGCUGGCAUAAUGGUCAUCAGCGACCCGUCUUGAAACACGG
This 620-nucleotide ribosomal RNA is filed under the name uncultured fungus. RNAcentral's name for it is "eukaryotic LSU rRNA". It matches the Rfam family "Eukaryotic large subunit ribosomal RNA", at positions 24 to 664 of the family's 3401-position model. The record is from RNAcentral. Lineage: Eukaryota; Fungi.